CUCCUGGAGGAGAGUUGUCCUUAGUGCUUUGUUAGGGGGUUGGGGGGUGAUGGAGGCUACAGCUCUUGGGGAAAAGCUGUUCCUCAGUCUUGUGGUGCGGGCCCGCAGUGUGCGGUACCUCUUCCCUGAUGGGAGGGGGACAAACAAGGUGUGUCCAGGGUGAGUUUAUCAGUGCUGAUUGACCUUGCCUUCCUCUUCCGGCAGUCAGCACACACAGAGUCCAGGUCUGGGAGCUCAGCUCCUAUGAUCUUUAUUGCUGACCUAACCACCCUGGCCAAGUCCCUCCUGCUCUCCGCUGUGCAGCCUGCAUACCACACACUGCAGCCCUGGCAGAGGAUGCUCUCAAUUGUGCUCCUAUCAAAGUGAAUGAGCAGGUGUGAGGAUAAACCUUCAGUAGAAAGAAGAGCCUCUUCUGGGCCCUCUUUACAAGGUUGGAGAUGUUAGUAGCCCAUGUCAGGUCCUUGGUGUUGUACGUCCCCAGGAGUUUAACAGAGUCCACCCUCUCCACUUCUUCCCCGUUGAUGGUAAGUGGGGUCUGCGUGGUCCUCUUGGACCUCCUUAAGUCCACGAGGAUCUCAUUUGUUUUGGUGGUGUUUAGGACCAUGUUGUUAUCCACACAUUGAAACAAAGUCCAGGAUCCAUGAGCAGAGUGAGGUGGGGAGACCAAGAUGAAUGAGUUCGAGGACCAGUUUAUGGGGGAUUGUGGUGUUGAAGGCAGAGCUGAAGUCCACAAAGAGGACCCUUACAUAUGUGUUGGGGUACUCCAGGGGGGACAGGGCUGUGUGGAGUGUGAUGGAGACAGCGUCCUCUGUGGAUCUGUUUGCCUGAUGGGCAAACUGGUGGCUGUCCAGGUCAACAGGGAUGCGGUCUCUGAUGUACGCCAGUAUCAUCAGCUCAAAGCACCUCAUGAUUACUGGGGUGAGGGCGACUGGGCGGUAGUCAUUGAGGCAGGUAAUGGCAGAUUCUUUAGGGGAUAGGGACGAUGGUAGUGGUCUUAAGGCAGGUGGGAACUGCAGCUUGUUGCAGGGAGUGGUUGAAGAUUUCUGUAGAAGCUCCUGCUAACUGGUUGGCACAUGAGCUCAGUAUACGGCCCGACACCCCAUAAGGGCCAGUAGCCUUGUUGGGGUCAAUCCUUCUCAAGGUGGACCUCACCUGGUGGUGCUGAAGAGUGAGUGUCUGCUCCUCCUCCUCGCUAACCAGUGCAGUGUCAUGAACUAGCUUGUAAUCCAUGACAAAAAAGGGGAGACCACACAGAAGUUUAACUGAAGUAUAUUUAUUUAGAACCAAUAACCUCUAUAAAGAGAUGACGAUAAACCAUGUAACCAUCAUUACAGUAGUGUAUGGGUGCAUGUGAAUAGUGUAGUGUAGUAAAUCAGACCCAUCUAAAGAACCUACAGCCCUGCUGUCUGGGUAGGAUAAGAUAGGAUAAGUGGAGGAGCCUGAUUGGAAUGGAGAUCAGGGGCCCUAAUUUAACGGUCUGAAACGCAAGUGAGAAGCGCCAAGCGCAAGUAGCUUUGUGGGCGGCCGCGGUUCUAUGGCGAUGUUGCUAUUUUACCGGCGGAUAAAUGACUCUCGUGCCCGACGCAAAUCUAAAAAGGGUUGGUCUGAAGUAGCCUAGUUACCCAUAGGUGUGGUUUGUGCGUAAUGUGCAAUAAACCAAUGAGAGUGCCAGCUCCCAUCCCCUUUAAGAGCCAUGAGCGCAUUUGAAUCUAACGAGUUGAUAUUUUGACAGCGCGUUUGCAGUCUCCAAUGAGACAGAUGCAUGCCCACAUGAAUUUCAAACUUCAAAUGGCUCAGUUUAUGGCCAAAUAAUAUGGCCUAAUUCCCACAUGGAAUAGCGUUUUCUUCCACAACUUCAGAAAUACUGAGUCCUCAAAUAAAUUUCGGCAAAGAAAACUUAACACACAUGUGAUUUGCGGUAACUGUUGUUCUAUUUAAUGAUAUACAUACAUAAUAAACAUACAUACAUAAAUACAUUAAUAAACAUAGUUUCUUACCAAUAUUGUUUGCAUUAUCGUUAUCGUUAUUAUUGUGUUCCUAAUAUGCAUGUGUCCUCCUGUUAAUAUACAUUGCCAUGGACUGUAUUAUGUGUAACGUGUUCAGUUUGCGUGUGUUUAAACAGAUGGACGCACACACCCGCGCCCGCAUUCAUUAAUUCAUUGUUUUCUCACGAUCAAAUACUCCUCAAUACUAAAAGUUAUGGGCUUCUACACGAUGUCUGUGUCAAGAAAAUAUGUGUUUGCUGUACGGUGUUUGCAGAUGCAUUGAUUUAAAAGUACAACUUAUUACCGCUGUAUCAGCUGUUCUUUCCCAAAUAAUUUCCCAAGAAUGUGUAGCUAGGUAGAAUAGAGAAGCAAAGUGUUUGCGCGAGGUGCUCAAGCAACAUUAUGCAUGCGUCCUUAAAAUAGCCUCUGAACAACGCGCCACUGACUUUAAACAAGGUAUUCCCUGGUUUGUGGCGGAAUUGUUUUCUGAAACUGCAAAAUAGCACCAGGGAAUGUUUGCGCCAGAACACGCCGCCUCAUUUCGCCGAACCGAAGCGGAGCGGUGGAGGGAAAAGAACGCUCUGCACCAGUUGCAAACCAGCAACGACACAUGUAGAAAGUCAAUUGCGCUGGGUACACGAUAUAUAAUAGGGCCUCGGGUGUGUUACAGCUCCUGCUGCCGCACCAGAGACACGCCUCCUCAACCCCUGAACCAUCCAGAGCGAGUUCAUCACAGUGGUCUUAUAUUUGUAGUCAGUUAUAGUUUUGAUGCCUCUCCACAUGCUCCUGGGGUCCGUGUUUUCAAAGUGACCCUCAAUGCGCUGUCUGUACUUGCCUUUGGCCUUGCACACAUUUUUGUGGAGUUUUGGUAAUACUUUCUUGGUAAUACUAAUAAUAGUUAUUAGAUGAUGACCUUGUAAAGAACCCAAUGUUGAUAUUUUAUUUACAUUUUUAUCUUAUAGAAAGUGAAAACACUGGACCUGGAUUUGGAGAUCAUUGGUAAGUUCUUAUUCCACAUGCUUCACUUUGUAAAUGAGUAACAGAUCAUUUAUUAAUAUCCAGUGAUUUGAAAGGGUCACUGACUCACACCAAGUCAAAUGAUAUCGCUGUGAUUCAAAACGUUUCUGGGGCGAUGUGGCCAGCAUAACGUCAGCUCAGUGGCGUUUAUAACGUAGCUCACUGAGUCGUCAUGACAACACAGAGCAGGGACAAAGGGUAGAAAUGGCGCUUUCACUUUCACUCCUUUAGUUCGUAGACUCGGUCCUAUUCAGGGUGAAGGUGAGGCCUUGUUACAUUUUAAUUUGGUUCGGUCAGCGUUCACACUGGACUCUGAUAGGCCGACCGUAUUGUAAACCAACGCCUCGCGGUGCCCAAAGUUGAACAUAUUUUAACUUUAUUGGACGGUGAAAAAAGGCAGAAAGCGAGAGGCAGGCUUCAGGCGCGCUAUUUAGAAAAUGGAGAAAACAGGAGGAGGAGGAGGAAAGGAAAGCCUUCAUUUGUGGUGGCUUGUUAGCUACUCUGCAGCAGCAGCUACAGGUUUUGUUUGUGAUGUUAGGCUAACUUUAUCUACUCUAUAACCGUCCAGAUGGAGCUGCUGGAGAAGGGACAUCUGGUCCCUCAUCCACAUCUCUCCUCUCUCCGGAGCUUCCUGCAGGUCUAGAGACAUCCAUCCCUCCAGCUCCCUCCAGUGAAACACAGCCUGCAGGUCUAGAGACAUCCAUCCCUCCAGCUCCCUCCAGUGAAACACAGCCUGCAGGUCUAGAGACAUCCAUCCCUCCAGCUCCCUCCAGUGAAACACAGCCUGCAGGUCUAGAGACAUCCAUCCCUCCAGCUCCCUCCAGUGAAACACAGCCUGCAGGUCUAGAGACAUCCAUCCCUCCAGCUCCCUCCAGUGAAACACAGCCUGCUGAAGAAACUACACCACUAAUGUCCAGUGAAUCUCCUGCACCCACCGGGGACCAACAAGAACAUACUUCAAGAACAAGUACCCCUGAUGUAACUAUGGAUGGUCAUGAUGAUGACCAGAGUCUGGAUGCCCGCGCCUACCGGUCUGGUACUGGACAGCUAGACAUUGAGAUGGGUCCAGUCCAAACGCUGCCCAAAGAUCGUAACAGGAUUCUUUAAUAUCGCUGUUAGACCCAAGUUUCCCAUCGACCGUGAUUCACUAUUGAAGGGGAAUGACAUUACAGGAGACAAAGUAACGCAGUUCGAGAAAUUCUGGAUCAACAUGAAAGUGAAUCUGAUGGUUCAAACUCAGAAACUAGGGGAGGAAAUACACCAGUCUGAUUCCUUCCUGAUGCCAGCUUUCACAGGAGAAGAGGCGUGGUCUGUUUAACAUCAUUAUUUGAUCAAUCCUCACAUUAUUCUUCUAUAUGUGGCUCACAGAGCAAAGACAAGCGAGGUGUUAAUAAAUAGUGUGAGGUGUGCUCUGUGAGGCGUCCUGGGGUAUGAUGGGUAACGUUGGCUUGGGUCCAAGCUCCACCUCUCUUGGGCGACCACCAAGGAAGAUGAUAUUUUCUUCAUGGUAUAUUUUUUUACAACGUUACUAACGUUACUCAAUAUUUAGUAAACUAUGACACGUACAUAUUUCACCCAUGCAAGUAUCUUUUCUUGUUGUUUUUCUGCUAAACUUUUAGUAACAUCACUUUUUUUAAGGCUUUUGACCGUAAUCAUUUAGGGAAUAAAAUGUAAAAUAACAGAUGCAAAACCUAUAAUGAAAAUAUCUCCCAAUGUACUGCACUGUAUUUCAAUUAGGUUAUCUUAUUUACAUUUAAUGUCUUUUGUUUUUUUUAAGUAAUUCCUGUACUUUUUUUUUUAUCAGGAAGAAUUUGGGGUGCUGGAAUUAGCAUUAAAUGGCCUUCUUUCAUGUGUCAGUCAAACAUUGUUAGUUAGAUACUAUUGUUUGUGAUCAAUUGGAGUCAGAGAGGGCUGGUUGUUGGGGUAUGCUUUUAUGAGAGCACACUAAUAAAGGGUUGAACAUUGCGUCUUAGCUUGUGGUCUGUUUGUGACAAGGGACCUGGAAACUCCACCUAAAGUCUGGUCUCACAGGAAGAUUGCAAAAACACAAAAAGGGCACAAGGCCGCUGUAGACUAAGACAGGGAAACAAUCCAAACAAAGGAAGAAAAGACAGGUCACCUUCUGAAGAGAAGUCAGGGAGCAGGCAGAGGGCAGAACCGCAGGCAAAGGCCAAAAACAGGCAGGAACCAGGCUGGCAGGAGCCAGGCAGGCAGACUACAGGGCCUUUUGAACUGACUAGGUAAGCCAAGACCAAACGUAAGAUCAAUCUAACAAGGUGGCACUGACAGCCCAGGAU
Gadus chalcogrammus (walleye pollock) is the source of this 5299-nucleotide long non-coding RNA. RefSeq lists it as uncharacterized. The record is from RefSeq and is a predicted model, not a curated record. The transcript has 3 exons. Lineage: Eukaryota; Metazoa; Chordata; Actinopteri; Gadiformes; Gadidae.